GUAGGUGGCAAGCGUUGUCCGGAAUUAUUGGGCGUAAAGCGCGCGCAGGCGGUUCUUUAAGUCUGAUGUGAAAGCCCACGGCUCAACCGUGGAGGGUCAUUGGAAACUGGAGAACUUGAGUACAGAAGAGGAGAGCGGAAUUCCACGUGUAGCGGUGAAAUGCGUAGAGAUGUGGAGGAACACCAGUGGCGAAGGCGGCUUUCUGGUCUGUAACUGACGCUGAGGCGCGAAAGCGUGGGGAGCAAACAGGAUUAGAUACCCUGGUAGUCCACGCCGUAAACGAUGAGUGCUAAGUGUUAGGGGGUUUCCGCCCCCCUUAGUGCUGCAGCUAACGCAUUAAGCACUCCGCCUGGGAGUACGACCGCAAGGUUG
RNAcentral lists this ribosomal RNA (372 nucleotides) under uncultured organism. RNAcentral describes it as "partial 16S ribosomal RNA". It matches the Rfam family "Bacterial small subunit ribosomal RNA", at positions 527 to 896 of the family's 1533-position model. The record is from RNAcentral.